Aegilops tauschii subsp. strangulata is the source of this 1100-nucleotide non-coding RNA. Lineage: Eukaryota; Viridiplantae; Streptophyta; Magnoliopsida; Poales; Poaceae. The record is from RefSeq and is a predicted model, not a curated record.
UCCGAACAAACCGGCGAAGAUGUUAACCAGAUUCAGGCUUGGGUGCAUACACAUAGAGGAUUGGACAAGAGCAAACCUUUAAUUCUCAACACACCAGAAGCAACUAAAUGUUUGGCACUUUACACAGAAAAGGCUAAAGAGUUAAAUGGAGAGGACUAUGAUAUCCUGAAAAAUGAUGUUAGUUCUAAGCCACUUUAUGAUUGCUCUAAUGGGAAGCCACAUGGUACAUGGUCUCUCUUUAAUGGCAUUGUCAAUGACAUCGAGGUCAUUUCUGAGGUGAGAGCUACUGGUACAUCUUCAGCAGCCUUGAAGCGUCGUCGAGCUGAAGAAAUUUAAGAUGUGCGUCAAAAGGAGUCCGAGAAGACUCGAAAAGCAGAGGCUUAUGCCAACAAUGUCUUGUCAUGGGGUGUUGGCAUGUACGAGCACUGCAAUGAGAUACAAAAGUUUCUUCAGACUUUGGCAACUAAGCAAGGAGUGCCUAUUGGAGAAAUACCACCGCCGCCGGUUCCACCUCCUUUUCGUUCGCUUUCUCCUCCUGGAUCUCCGCAACGAUGUACCAUCCAAGUAUGUAAUCAUCCAUCUCAAGCAAACACACACACACACACACAUUAAUACAUUUAAAGCAUGAUAAGGGUUACUUCUAAAACCUGGCUCUUCUUUUGCAGAUUCUAGAAAAUAGCGAAGAAUCGCCAGCUUUGUGUGCUCAAAAAGAAACAAAUCCUAGCUCUAAUAAUGAACAUGUUACUGCUGCAAGUGUUCCUGCUGUAGACGAUGAAGGGAUGUUUGGGGGAUUUUUUAGUUAGUCUGGAACCAGUGCACUAAGCCUAUCGCUAUUGAGCAGUCAGUUGGUUCCUUGAUGUUCUUGGAUGUACAGUGCGUGGAGUAAUAUUUUGGUGCAUGUAUAGUUAACAUGCUAGUACAUGUUCUGUAAUGUAGGAAACUCUAGUUGACCUACAUCAGUAUGUACAUGCUAAUUGAGAUGCUUAAUCAGUUAGAUGUAGCAAACUCUAGCUAGCAAGCCUAUUUUUUGGUCAAACAUGUGAUGGCUGGUGAUGUCUUGGCAUCUACUGUAUGCAUGUGACGAUUGGUAUCUAUAUAUA